Molecule: non-coding RNA, 741 nt
Organism: Paramisgurnus dabryanus
Lineage: Eukaryota; Metazoa; Chordata; Actinopteri; Cypriniformes; Cobitidae
Source: RefSeq, a predicted model, not a curated record
GGAUUUCAAAGGCAGCAGGAUGAAAGAUAUGUGUCUGUGUUCAUCAAGACAUGAAGACUCUGGAGUGGGACAAGAGAAGGAUGAUGGGGUGUUAUUCCAAUAGACACAUUAAGUCACAUUGUGAUUUCAGUGAAAGCUGAUAAAUACAGAGGGCUGGACAGUGGUUUCAUUCAUUAGGUAAAGACGUGGGACAAGGAUGCUGACAGGACAGGAGGAGGUGACAUUCAGACAUUCAACGCAGACACUUUCAUCCAAAGCAACUUGAGGAAGAAAACAGAAGCAGUUCAUCCUAAAAGUGGGCUGCUGUAAUGUUUACAUCUAUGGAAAGAGGAGCUGAGAAGAAAAGAGACGCUGGAAAGCAGUACUUCUUGUUGAGGACAAUCCUGAAUAGGAACCCUUUCUCAUACACAUAGAUUAUUAUUAGUGUUUGAUUGUUUGUUUCAUUUUUAUGAAUUGUAUUGUUUUAAUUUUUCGUUUUAUUUUAAAUUACCUAAGUUAGAUUCAUGCUUAUACUUUAACUGGACCUUGUAUCUUUGCUGGCUGGCUGGCUGUAGAGUUGGUUUCACAUACACAUGAAGUUUCUAAUUAACUAACUUUUAAGUUCAGUUUGGUUUAAACUUGUAUUUACCCAUGGUAAUUCAUUUAAAUUUCUAUUCAUACUUAUAUAUUAAUUUCAAUGAACUUCUGUAUUUGUGUAUAGCUGGCAAUUUGGGCAAGCAACGUUUCACACACCAAUGUAAC